RNAcentral lists this ribosomal RNA (1889 nucleotides) under human gut metagenome. RNAcentral's name for it is "bacterial LSU rRNA". It matches the Rfam family "Bacterial large subunit ribosomal RNA", at positions 3 to 1977 of the family's 2925-position model. The record is from RNAcentral.
UCAAGCUAUAAAGAGCGCAAGGGGAAUGCCUUGGCAUCAGGAGCCGACGAAGGACGUGACAAGCUGCGAUAAGCUUCGGGGAGGAGCAAAUAUCCGUUGAUCCGGAGAUUUCCGAAUGGGGAAACCCACCAGAGCAAUACCCUGGUAUCGUGCGUUGAAUAAAAUAGGCGUACGAGGGGAACGCCCUGAACUGAAACAUCUAAGUAGGGGCAGGAAAAGACAUCAACCGAGAUUCCGCAAGUAGUGGCGAGCGAACGCGGAGGAGGCCAAACCGGAGGAUUUAUUCUCCGGGGUUGCGGACAGACAUCACGAUCAGAGGAAGCUAGGAGAACGGCAUGGGAAGGCCGGCUAGAAAGGGUGAGAGCCCCGUAUCCGAAAGCAGGAGCUGACAGUCUGGAUCCAGAGUACCGCGGGACACGUGAAACCCCGUGGGAAACCGGGUGGACCACCAUCCAAGCCUAAAUACUACCUGAUGACCGAUAGAGGAGCAGUACCGUGAGGGAAAGGUGAAAAGGACCCCGGGAGGGGAGUGAAAGAGAACCUGAAACCUUGUGCUUACAAGCAGUCAGAGCACGUUAAAGUGUGAUGGCGUACUUUUUGUAGAACGGUCCGGCGAGUUAUAGUAACGAGCAAGCUUAAGGUAUUCAGUACCGAAGGCGCAGCGAGAGCGAGUCUGAAUAGGGCGUAUAAAGUUCGUUGCCAUAGACCCGAAACCGGGUGACCUAUCCAUGAGCAGGCUGAAGUGAGAGUAAAAUCUCAUGGAGGGCCGAACCGACCCCCGUUGCAAUGGUGGCGGAUGACUUGUGGAUAGCGGAGAAAUUCCAAUCGAACUCGGAGAUAGCUGGUUCUCCCCGAAAUAGCUUUAGGGCUAGCGUUAUCUUAGAUUACCGGAGGUAAAGCACUGAAUGGGCUAGGGGGCGAUAAGCUUACUGAACCCUAUCAAACUCUGAAUGCCGGCUAAUUGAUGAUCAGCAGUCAGACAGUGUGAGAUAAGUUUCAUUGUCAAAAGGGAAACAGCCCAGACCCACAGCUAAGGUCCCUAAUGCAUGCUAAGUGGAAAACGAUGUGGAAUUGCGAAAACAACCAGGAUGUUGGCUUAGAAGCAGCCACUCAUUAAAAGAGUGCGUAAUAGCUCACUGGUCGAGUGACUCUGCGCGGAAAAUAUAACGGGGCUAAGCAUGCAACCGAAGCUUGGGAUUGUCUAAAGACAGUGGUAGGGGAGCGUCGUGUACGGGGUGAAGUCGCAUCGGAAGGAGCGGUGGACUGUACACGAGUGAGAAUGCCGGAAUGAGUAGCGAGAAUUAUGUGGGAAUCAUAAUGGCCGAAAAUCUAAGGUUUCUUGGGGAAGGUUCGUCCGCCCAAGGUAAGCCGGGAGCUAAGGCGAGGCCGCGAGGCGUAGUCGAUGCACAUACGGUAGAAAUUCCGUAGCCACCGAACUUUAAACCAGAAGGACACUUUCAGAUAGCGGGACCCAGCCGUUGGUAGAGCUGGGCGCAAGGGACCGAAAUAUAGUAGGGAAGUCCGCGAUGCUGGGAGGCGAGAAAAGCUCUGGUGAAUACUAAGGUGCCCGUACCGCAAACCGACACAGGUAGAUGAGGAGAGAAUCCUAAGGCCAACGGGAGAAGGGUUGUUAAGGAACUCGGCAAAUUGACCCCGUAACUUCGGAAGAAGGGGAGCCUCGAAAGAGGCCGCAGUGAAUAGGCCCAAGCAACUGUUUACCAAAAACACAGGUCUAUGCUAAAUCGAAAGAUGACGUAUAUGGGCUGACGCCUGCCCGGUGCCGGAAGGUUAAGAGGAGAGCUUAGCGCAAGCGAAGGUUUGAAUUGAAGCCCCGGUAAACGGCGGCCGUAACUAUAACGGUCCUAAGGUAGCGAAAUUCCUUGUCAGGU